Molecule: long non-coding RNA, 623 nt
Organism: Symphalangus syndactylus (siamang)
Lineage: Eukaryota; Metazoa; Chordata; Mammalia; Primates; Hylobatidae
Source: RefSeq, a predicted model, not a curated record
GGCCAGUCAUUUCUGGAGAGGGCUUUGGUGGAGAAGGAGAGUCCUAUUCAACUCUGGGACCUGCAUUUUAUAGUCACUCCUAUAAGGUCACAUUCUGAGACCCUUCAAGGACAAUUUCUGUGAAGCUAAUUCUUUCAGUGACGAAAAUAUGAAGAGCCAACAUCUAAAUUCUUAUGGGCCUGGCUGUCAUUUAACAUCUCCUGGAGAAGAGUAGUGGGGUAGAAAUAGUACAAGCCUGCAAAUCAAGAAACUUGAGCAGGGAACAGAGGUCCACAUCCUGGACUCAGGAAUUUGCACAGAAGGAGACACUCCAAGCAGUGCUCCGACACACAAGAGGCCCCAGGAAUUUGGAGACCUGAGUAACUCCAAGGAAGCCCUGGCCGCACUCAGGCUGCUGUUUCAGACAAAACUAAACAACUCAUAUCAGUCCAAGCACAAAGGAAACUCUCCAAGGAUCAUGGUCAUGGAGAAGGAAAAUAACUUGGGUCUGGCCUUGAUGACGCUCCUGAAUUUUCCUGCUUGUGAUACAGUGGUGUUCUGAAGACUGGCAAGUACCUUUCUUGUUUCUCUGCUGCUAUCCUGAAAAUGUCACUUGCGUGCAUUUGGGAGAAAGAUUUGCUGCG